GAUGAAGAACGUAGCGAAAUGCGAUAAGUAGUGUGAAUUGCAGAAUUCAGUGAAUCAUCGAAUCUUUGAACGCACAUUGCGCCCCUCGGUAUUCCGUGGGGCAUGCCUGUUCGAGCGUCAUUUACCCCUCAAGCACUGCUUGGUGUUGGGCGUCUGUCCCGCUUCGCGCGCGGACUCGCCCCAAAGGUAUUGGCAGCGGUCGUGCCAGCUUCUCGCGCAGCACAUUGCGCUUCUCGAGGCGGUCGAUCGGCGUCCACGAAGCUCACCUCCACCGUUUGACCUCGGAUCAGGUAGGACUACCCGCUGAACUUAAGCAUAUCAAUAAGCGGAGGA
RNAcentral lists this unclassified non-coding RNA (333 nucleotides) under soil metagenome. RNAcentral describes it as "partial contains 5.8S ribosomal RNA, internal transcribed spacer 2, and large subunit ribosomal RNA". The stretch from base 1 to 120 matches the Rfam family "5.8S ribosomal RNA", at positions 35 to 154 of the family's 154-position model. The record is from RNAcentral.